GGAAUCUGAAAGUCCCUGCACCAAAACCUUUCGAUGUCCCUUGCUGCAGAAUGACAGACUCCAUGCUGCUGUGGGGUGGCAUUGAGUUUCAUAUCCAUCCAAACCAAGUGUUGGAAGCACGUGUGGCCCAGUGCCCAGGAUCCUGAGGGCUGCUGAUAACUUCAGCUGGAAGGGUUUUGCUGCUCAGGCUCUCAGUCUCUCCCUGCCUUUAAAUGGCCAUCACCAUCAGAAAACCACAGCAGCCUUAUCAUCGUGAUUGCACAGCACAGCCUUAACUCAUCAGCAGAAUUGCACGUGAGCUCAGAAACAAACCUCCAACUUCCACAGUAGAAAUAACUCAGUUCAACCAACUUCAGCCUUAGCCUGGCUGCUGUGCAGACUGGGGCAGGAUGGAGUAUUUCCCACCCAUCGCCUUCAGCUCUCCUCAGCAUUUCUGUCCUGGUGUUCUGCAGUUAUUGGGCACUAAGUCGUAAGUUUCCUUUUGGUGGUGGUAAGAUGGCAUCACCCCUCUGGGGGCAGAAAACCGGGUGGGAAGAGGCCAGGUGAGUGAUGAGGUGUUGGAUGCCAGCUGAUGGGUAUAAAAGGCACUGCCCAAAGUGCUGUUGGUGAGCCUGCAGCCCUGAAGUGCUGCUUGGAGCCAUCCUCCAGCAGUGCUGGUUGGUUUUGCUCUGACUGGUGUUGGCAGGUCCUGUGGGGCAAGGGGACAGGAGCAGAGGGACCUGCAGGAAGGGGUUUGUUGACUGAUGACCCACACAGUGAACUUCUGGCAGCAGGGAGGAGCUCUCCUUGGACACGCUGAACACUGUGCACCAUCCUUCGUCCUCUGAAGAAGUGUAUUCCUGAGUCUCUUGAUACUGGAAUUACACACCAAGGAGCUGUGAGCACAGACAGAAUAAAAACUUGUCAGGACAUACA
RNAcentral lists this long non-coding RNA (915 nucleotides) under Phasianus colchicus (ring-necked pheasant). RNAcentral describes it as "lncRNA (ENSPCLG00000006372.1)". The record is from RNAcentral. Lineage: Eukaryota; Metazoa; Chordata; Aves; Galliformes; Phasianidae.